ACGUAUAAAGCACAAUGAAUGAAAGAAGAUAUACAAGCAUAACAAACAUAAGAGAUUUAUAGUAGUUCGAUGCCAACCUUGCACCGACAUCCACUCUCCAAAUUCCUACUUGAGAAUUCAAUCCACUAAAAGGAUUACAAGAUACAAAACAUCGAAUAACAUCGACCCUUGCUAUCCAAGCAAGAAUACUUAUUUUUUGGGUAUAAGCCAACCCAC
RNAcentral lists this long non-coding RNA (216 nucleotides) under Elaeis guineensis (African oil palm). RNAcentral describes it as "long non-coding RNA (EGUI_LNC003239)". The record is from RNAcentral. Lineage: Eukaryota; Viridiplantae; Streptophyta; Magnoliopsida; Arecales; Arecaceae.